AUUCUGACACCCUGUUGGUUUGUACAUGAUCCAUCACACCUGCACAUGACACAAAUCACGUCACACUCCAGCAAGGACAUAAGUAGUGCACUAUAGGCCCCUGUGGUGUGGCCUAAGCUUUUGUCCUAAUGGCAUUUUUUGCCCUUACACUUACUUUUAUACUUGAAGUAGUUUAGAAACCUGUACUUUUACACUUUUACUUGAGUAAAAAACUUGAGUUGAUCCUUCAACUUCUACAGAAGUCUUUUUAAACCCUAGUAUCUAUACUUCUACCUGACUAAUGAUUGUGAAUAUUUUUGACACCUCUGCAUAAAAUCUAAUAAUAAG
Molecule: long non-coding RNA, 327 nt
Organism: Sphaeramia orbicularis (orbiculate cardinalfish)
Lineage: Eukaryota; Metazoa; Chordata; Actinopteri; Kurtiformes; Apogonidae
Exons: 3
Source: RefSeq, a predicted model, not a curated record